UUUCCGUAGGUGAACCUGCGGAAGGAUCAUUAUUGUAUAACCGAGGUGCGAGGGCUGUCGCUGACCCGAAAGGUCGUGCACGCCCGAGUGACAUCACACACAUCCAUUUCACCCCGAUGUGCGCCACCGCGCGGGUCUCCCGUUUGGCUUGAUCGGAGGGGGGCUUACGUUUUCACACAAACUUUGUAUGCAGUGUAGAAUGUAUUUUUUGUUUUUGCGAUCACGCAAUCAAUACAACUUUCAACAACGGAUCUCUUGGCUCUC
Molecule: unclassified non-coding RNA, 264 nt
Filed under: plant metagenome
Description: partial contains small subunit ribosomal RNA, internal transcribed spacer 1, and 5.8S ribosomal RNA
Source: RNAcentral